CAGCCGCCACGGUAAUACGUAGGGCGCAGGCGUUAUCCGGAAUUAUUGGGCGUAAAGAGCUCGUAGGCGGCGAUCAAAGUCAGGCGUGAAAUUCCUGGGCUCAACCUGGGGGCUGCGCUUGAUACUGGGUUGCUUGAGUGGGGAAGAGGGUCGUGGAAUUCCCAGUGUAGAGGUGAAAUUCGUAGAUAUUGGGAAGAACACCGGUGGCGAAGGCGGCGACCUGGUCCUUUACUGACGCUGAGGCGCGAAAGCGUGGGGAGCAAACAGGAUUAGAUACCCGAGUAGUCCCUGUCUCUUAUAC
RNAcentral lists this ribosomal RNA (301 nucleotides) under uncultured bacterium. RNAcentral's name for it is "partial 16S ribosomal RNA". It matches the Rfam family "Bacterial small subunit ribosomal RNA", at positions 509 to 807 of the family's 1533-position model. The record is from RNAcentral.